ACAUGCACUGUGAUUCUUCUGUAUAAAGACGGCUUUUGCCAAAUGGAAAUGUUUGCUUAAAGCUGCAGGAACAGGGGAAAGCCAGGAGCUGUUUUAAUCAUCUCUGUGCCCACCUGGAUGCCAGCUAUGGUCCUUAACUAUAGGAGUAACAGCAGCAUGCUUGGGUCUUGCUUAGAGGCCCCCUAGCAAGCCAAGAAGGACACUGACACCCUGUGCAGACCCUAGCAGUGAAGCUGAUGGUGCUGGCAUCAUGUCUGUAACUCCUGGCUGAGCCAGAGACUAUCCUUCAGGAAGGUGCUGUAAGUGCUUGCAGCUUUUGAAGGAAUGGGGAAGAUGUUGGACCCCUUGACAAUUUGGACGCUGGAAGAUGCCUCCCUGAUGUCCCCUUUGCAAACUCUUCAGAAGGAAAGGAGAACCAUGACUGUCAGACAAAGAACAGACGUAAGGGUCAUGUUGAUAAAGACAUAAGGGUCUCUUCCUCUCCCCUGCUGCAGUGAUUUAUGAGCAGCUUUAGCUUUCCAGGCCCUGCUGUAGCAGGUUUCCCAGGAAAGAGCCUGUUCUCAGUCUCCCACAGUCUGAAAUGGUGGUGUCAGUGUUGCUUGUGGACAAACGGGGCCUCACGAGACUGUUUGCCUUCAUCAAUCAUCCGAUGUGGGACUCAGCAGCCAACACCAGUCCGCCCAAGCUGCAGGGGCACAGAGCGUGAAGGCUGCUGAGGAAGGGUCAGCUCACUGCCCAGCACUGGGAGGACUAGAGCCUUGGCACAUCGCUCUUGUGCAGUGACAGUACCUUAUGAGCAAGUGACAAUCACUUGGUGACUGGUCUUGCUCCACACU
This is a long non-coding RNA of Oxyura jamaicensis (ruddy duck), 836 nucleotides long. RefSeq lists it as uncharacterized. NCBI's taxonomy places the organism in Eukaryota, Metazoa, Chordata, Aves, Anseriformes, Anatidae. The transcript has 3 exons. The record is from RefSeq and is a predicted model, not a curated record.